GUUUAGCCCCUCUCAGCUGUCUGUGAGGCUGGGAUUGAGCUCCAUGUGACUCGAGCUGCCUGUGGGGCGUGGCUGGAGGGCCACUGCAUCCCCACCAGGAGUGACCUUGGCCUGCCCCCCACCUCCAGGUAGUUUAUUUCACAGCCACGUUUCCGUACCUGAUGCUUGUCAUUUUGCUGAUCCGAGGUGUCACCCUUCCCGGAGCCUACCAGGGCAUCAUCUAUUACUUGAAGCCAGAUUUGUUCCGCCUCAAGGACCCUCAGGUGUGGAUGGAUGCGGGCACCCAGAUCUUCUUCUCCUUUGCCAUCUGCCAGGGGUGCCUGACAGCCCUGGGCAGCUACAACAAGUACCACAACAACUGCUACAAGGACUGCAUCGCCCUCUGCUUCCUGAAUAGUGCCACCAGCUUUGUGGCUGGGUUUGUUGUCUUCUCCAUCCUGGGCUUCAUGUCCCAAGAGCAAGGGGUGCCCAUUUCUGAAGUGGCCGAGUCAGGUCCCGGGCUGGCCUUCAUCGCCUUCCCCAAGGCUGUGACUAUGAUGCCCUUA
This 545-nucleotide small RNA is filed under the name Pongo abelii (Sumatran orangutan). RNAcentral describes it as "retained intron". The record is from RNAcentral. Lineage: Eukaryota; Metazoa; Chordata; Mammalia; Primates; Hominidae.